UGUGGUAUUGAACAUGUUGUGGAUAUGUGGUGGUAUUGAACAUGUUGUGUUGUGGAUAUGUGGUGGUAUUGAACAUGUUGUGGAUAUUUGGUGGUAUUGAACAUGUUGUGGAUAUGUGGUGGUAUUGAACAUGUUGUGGAUAUGUGGUGGUAUUGAACAUGUUGUGGAUAUGUGGGGGUAUUGAACAUGUUGUGGAUAUGUGGUGGUAUUGAACAUGUUGUGUUGUGGAUAUGUGGAGGUAUUGAACAUGUUGUGGAUAUGUGGUGGUAUUGAACAUGUUGUGGUAUUGAACAUGUUGUGGAUAUGUGGUGUUAUUGAACAUGUGGAUAUGUGGUGAUAUUGAACAUGUUGUGGGUAUGUGGAGGUAUUGAACAUGUUGUGGAUAUGUGGUGGUAUUGAGCAUGUUGUGGAUAUGUGGUGGUAUUGAGCAUGUUGUGGAUAUGUGGUGGUAUUGAACAUGUUGUGGUAUUAAACAUGUUGUGGAUAUGUGGUGGUAUUGAACAUGUUGUGGAUAUGUGGUGGUAUUGAUUAUGUUGUGGAUAUGUGGUGGUAUUGAUUAUGUUGUGGAUAUGUGGUGGUAUUGAACAUGUGGCUAUGUUGUGGUAUUAAACAUGUUGUGUUGUGGAUAUGCGUUUGUAUUGAACAUUUUGUGGCAUUGAACAUGUUGUGGAUAUGUGGUGUUAUUGAACAUAUUGUGUUGUGGAUAUGUGGUGGUAUUGAACAUGUUGUGGUAUUGUACAUGUUGUGGAUAUGUGGUGGUAUUGAACAUGUUGUGGAUAUGUGGUGGUAUUGAACAUGUUGUGGAUAUGUGGUGGUAUUGAACAUGUUGUGGAUAUGUGGUGGUAUUGAACAUGUUGUGGAUAUGUGGUGGUAUUGAACAUGUUGUGUUGUGGAUAUGUGGUGGUAUUGAACAUGUUGUGGAUAUGUUGUGGUAUUGAACAUGUUGUGGAUAUGUGGUGGUAUUGAACAUGUUGUGGAUAUGUGGUGGUAUUGAACAUGUUGUGGAUAUGUGGUGGUAUUGAACAUGUUGUGGAUAUGUGGAGGUAUUGAACAUGUUGUGGAUAUGUGGUGGUAUUGAACAUGUUGUGGAUAUGUUGUGGUAUUAAACAUGUUGUGUUGUGGAUAUGUGGUGGCAUUGAACAUGUAGUGGAUAUGUGGUGGUAUUGAACAUGUUGUGGAUAUGUGGAGGUAUUGAACAUGUUGUGGAUAUGUGGUGGUAUUGAACAUGUUGCGUUGUGGAUAUGUGGUGGUAUUGAACAUGUUGUGGAUAUUGAACAUGUUGUGUUGUGGAUAUGUGGUGGUAUUGAACAUGUUGUGGAUAUGUGGAGGUAUUGAACAUGUUGUGGAUAUGUGGUGGUAUUGAACAUGUUGUGAACAUGUUGUGG
Molecule: long non-coding RNA, 1385 nt
Organism: Oncorhynchus tshawytscha (Chinook salmon)
Lineage: Eukaryota; Metazoa; Chordata; Actinopteri; Salmoniformes; Salmonidae
Source: Ensembl